CCUACGGGAGGCAGCAGUGGGGAAUAUUGCACAAUGGGGGAAACCCUGAUGCAGCAACGCCGCGUGAGUGAAGAAGUCAUUCGUGAUGUAAAGCUCUAUCAGCAGGGAAGAAAAUGACGGUACCUGACGAAGAAGCCCCGGCUAACGACGUGCCAGCAGCCGCGGUAAUACGUAGGGGGCAAGCUUUAUCCGGAUUUACUGGGUGUAAAGGGAGCGUAGACGGCGAGGCAAGUCUGAAGUGAAAUGCCAGUGCUCAACACUGGAACUGCUUUUGAAACGGUGUGGCUAGAGUGCAGGUGAGGUAAGUGGCAUUCCUGGUGUAGCGGUGAACUGCGUAGAUCUUAGGAGGAACACC
Molecule: ribosomal RNA, 355 nt
Filed under: uncultured bacterium
Lineage: Bacteria
Description: partial 16S ribosomal RNA
Rfam family: Bacterial small subunit ribosomal RNA
Source: RNAcentral